UCCCUUCAAAAAGAAGCACCCAAAGGAAACAUAUAGAUUCAAAUGUAAACUUCCUCAGAUAUCCCAAACAUAAGCAAUGUCCAGAAAUACUAAGCUGCAAUGCUCAAACAGACUUCCAAGUACAUAGUUAUUCUUGAGAAACAUUAAAACAAACACAUCACCAGUGCACAGGAAUUCCUACUGUGUUACCAUCAACUGGAGAAGAAGUGCGAGCGAGUAUGGAAGACAUUUGAAGACCAAGGACCAAUCCAUAAUGCACCAUAACAAAUGGACAUCAAUUAAUAGGCAGCAUAAAAAGGUAGCAUCCAUAAAUCUGAUUAUUACAAAAUAUCUAAAUGGUGACAUUUUAAUCCCAAGAAAUAAACGAAGCAUCCUUUGAAUAUGCUUCUACUAAUAAAACAUAGCAUCUGUGCAGUCCAGGAAAUAUGAGAGACGGAACUAAAGUGAAGGAAAAACGUAAAGGCUAACACGCCUUAGACACGAGAGUUCACUCUCCGAUUAAUGGAAACCAACAUAAUCCAAGCCGAUCCUAAUCAUCAUUGACCUUUCCAUUGAACUCCAAAGCUGUGAUACUCAUAAUCGUAAAUCGCCUUAACGGAUUGGGUCCUACACAGAAGAUUUUUUCACAAUUCAGUGUGAUUUAAGCGACCAUUCUGGAUUUUCAGCAAAACCUAAUGGCUAGUCAGUAAUACAGGGUCCAGCGUAUAGAUGGCAUUUGUCACCUGCAGAAAUUCGUAACUCUAACGUCUCCCACGAUGCCCACCUCCUGACCUUGCACCAGGAUAGCGAGCAAAUUGCAGCCUUAAGUGGGCCGAGUCCCGGUCAUGCUCAUCAAACCUAUAACCUGCAAGAUUUAGUUCGACUAUUUUAUGGUACCAACUGAUGUCGCUUCGAAUGACGACCGACAAACCAGGUAAGUAGUGUAAGGAUUUUAGAUUGUAGCCGCAGUAUUAAUUCUCCUCAUCGAAAAUUUCCACUUAAGAUGCUAAAUAGGUAUAAUACGAGAUUGAUUGGUGAAUUUGAUAAGACAUAAUGUGAUUUAGGAGAUAAUAAGAAAAUUAUAAUUUUACCAGAAAGGGGAAACAUCAAGAAUUGUAAAUAGACAUAUAGCAUUUUGUAUGAUUAUAGGAGUAUAACACAAAGUAAAUGGAUAUUAAGAGAUAAUACCAACCUAUAUGUGAGCGAUAUAUUAUAUAUAUGCCCGAAUUUUUCCUUCGAGACAAAAUUUGUAUGCUACUUGAAUAAAUUCCACCACCUUCAUGUCCCAGGUAGUUGUCUUGACCAAAGUUGGUCAUGGUAUUUCAUUUUAAGAAUAAUUACUAUGAAUUCCUCAAAAUUUUUGGUUCAUUUUUUAUCAUUUUUACAUGAACAUAAUUAAAUAGGAAAGAGUAUUUACAUGUUCACAAAAUGAUUUCCAAGCAAAUACCAUACGUUAAUGGGGAAAGAAAAUAUUUGCCUUGAUAUUCCAUACUAGUAUUGAAACAACAGUCCUAAGUAAGAUCAAAGCCAUCCAAAUAAUGUCUCUCAGUCAUAAGUUGAGCACUUCAAGCCCGUGUUUGAGCCCCAUUCUAUAAAAAAACUCAUAUUUCCCCAAAUUCAUUUUUAACCACACAUUCUCCCAAUAAAUUAAUUUUACACGUAAAUGUAAAACUUUUUCUUAUUUCUUAACAACAAAUUCUCCAAUAAUCACUAUUAUAAAACCUAUUCUCCCAAAAAAUGGGGCUCAAACAGACCCAAGGUGGUUAGCAAAAAGUAAACAACUUUCAAACCAAGGGUAAGGUAAAAAAAAAGUAAUGAUCAUUCACAUUCUCCCUUCAAAAAGAAGCACCCAAAGGAAACAUAUAGAUUCAAAUGUAAACUUCCUCAGAUAUACCAAACAUAAGCAAUGCCCAGAAAUACUAAGCUGCAAUGCUCAAACAGACUUCCAAGUACAUAGAUAUUCUUGAGAAACAUUAAAACAAACACAUCACCAGUGCACAGGAAUUCCUACUGUGUUACCAUCAACUGGAGAAGAAGUGCGAGCGAGUAUGGAAGACAUUUGAAGACCAAGGACCAAUCCAUAAUGCACCAUAACAAAUGGACAUCAAUUAAUAGGCAGCAUAAAAAGGUAGCAUCCAUAAAUCUGAUUAUUACAAAAUAUCUAAAUGGUGACAUUUUAAUCCCAAGAAAUAAACGAAGCAUCCUUUGAAUAUGCUUCUACUAAUAAAACAUAGCAUCUGUGCAGUCCAGGAAAUAUGAGAGACGGAACUAAAGUGA
Molecule: long non-coding RNA, 2256 nt
Filed under: Olea europaea (common olive)
Lineage: Eukaryota; Viridiplantae; Streptophyta; Magnoliopsida; Lamiales; Oleaceae
Description: long non-coding RNA (OEUR_LNC000257)
Source: RNAcentral